UACGGAGGGUGCAAGCGUUAUCCGGAUUCACUGGGUUUAAAGGGUGCGUAGGUGGGCAGGUAAGUCAGUGGUGAAAUCUCCGGGCUUAACCCGGAAACUGCCGUUGAUACUAUCUGUCUUGAAUACCGUGGAGAUGAGCGGAAUAUGUCAUGUAGCGGUGAAAUGCUUAGAUAUGACAUAGAACACCGAUUGCGAAGGCAGCUCGUUACACGGUUAUUGACACUGAGGCACGAAAGCGUGGGGAUCAAACAGG
Molecule: ribosomal RNA, 253 nt
Filed under: uncultured bacterium
Lineage: Bacteria
Description: partial 16S ribosomal RNA
Rfam family: Bacterial small subunit ribosomal RNA
Source: RNAcentral